RNAcentral lists this unclassified non-coding RNA (1521 nucleotides) under Hevea brasiliensis (rubber tree). The record is from RNAcentral. Lineage: Eukaryota; Viridiplantae; Streptophyta; Magnoliopsida; Malpighiales; Euphorbiaceae.
AGAUGACUUAAACCAGAUUGUUAGACCUGAACUAACUGGACCAUGGGGCACAAGACUCUUUGAUAAAGCAGUCUCGUACAAAUCAGUUUCCUUGUCAGAACCUGUUAUAAUGGAAUUUCCUGAGCUUAAAGGACAUACACGCCGUGACUAUUGGUUAGCCAUUAUUCGGGAAGUUCUACAUGUGCAUCAGUUCAUACUUAAAUUCCAGAUUACUGGAAUUGAGCGUGAUGAGGCGCUUCUAAAAGCUAUAUUUGGCAUAUUGCGAGUACAAGCCCUGAAAGAUAUGAGCUCCAAAAAUUCACUUUGCUAUGAGGAUCUUCUUAUGUUCAAUGUAUGUGAUCAACUUCCUGGAGGAGACCUUAUACUAGAAACAAUUGCAGAUAGGUCAACUGUGAGGGCACUGGAGAGGACAAACUCUCCCAAACCUAAAAACAGAAUGUACUCAAUUUCAGCUUCAGCCCUGGCUUCCAACUUGGGUUUAGUUUUUGGGACAAGUUCGCAUGUUCCUAAUGAGCCAGGAAUUGUUGUGGGUGAAAUUUCUGUGGGGGAGAUGACUCCCUUGGAAAAAGCAGUUAAGGAAUCCAGAAGCAACUAUAGAAAGGUGGUGCAAGCACAAGCUACGGUUGAUGGGGUGAAAGUUGAUGGUCUUGACACCAAUUUGGCAGUGAUGAAGGAGUUGCUCUCUCCUAUGAUGCAACUUGGGAAUUGGAUUCUUCUUCUGGCUUACUGGGAAGACCCUUUGAAGUCCAUGAUUUUCUGUUCUGUUUUCUCAUUUAUUAUUGUCAGGGGAUGGCUGUGCUAUGCCUUUGCACUGUUGCUAACUUUUUUUGCCGUCUUUUUGGUAAUAAAUCGCUGCUUAAGUCAAGGCAAGACAGUUGAUGAACUAAAAGUAAUGGUUCCACCUUCAAUGAAUGCCAUGGAGCAACUUUUGGCUGUUCAAAAUGCAAUAUCUCAAGCUGAAGAACUAAUCCAGGAUGGAAACAUUGUUCUUCUCAAAUUUCGCGCUUUACUUUUGUCUAUCUUCCCACAGGCAACCGAGAAGUUAGUGGGUGUUUUUUUGGUUUCGGCACUAGUUCUGGCAUUCUUACCUUUGAAAUACAUAAUCCUUCUGACUUUUCUGGAACUCUUCACAAGAUAUUCACCUAUCCGGAAAGCAAGCACAGAAAAAUGGUCUAGAAGACUAAGGGAAUGGUGGUUCAGUAUCCCUGCGGCUCCUGUAGUUCUUGAAAAAGCCAAAGAAGACAAAAAGAAGAGAUGAUGAAAAUCUUUUGACAUACGAUCCAUCCGCGGAGCAAUAUCCUAGUAUGUCCUGUGGUUGUACAUUUGUAUUAUAUGAGAGAAGAUAAAGAUGUAACUUUCACUGGCCUUGGUGAGGUCUCCAUUAACGUUUGCUUUUAGUGUUGUAUCACUGUCUCUGGGUAUUGAAAACUUAUUAUGUGUUGUAUCCUACUAAUCAUGGGUUAUAAGAUCGGAUUUCUUAUCAACAUUUUGAUUUUAAAUCAUCUAGAGAAACAAUUGGCG